CUUUCUUGUCAAUUGUUGACUUUAUUUUGGGCAUCCCUUAUCUAUUUAAUGAAGCCCUUCCAAGGAGCAGGCAGAGGCGGUGCUAAGAGAGAGAGAGGGAGCGAGAGAGAGAGAGAGAGAGGGGUGGGGUAGUGGAGUGUUCCAGACCAUGGACUGCUUUGUGUUUGCGCUGGUAUACUAGCCUGGUCCCUGUUGUAACUAGACUGGCUUGUUCCAGUCCAGCACACCCCUCUUCCUGCAGGGCCUUCUGGAGCCCAUCCACACCCCUCUUCCUGCAGGGCCUUCUGGAGCCCAUCCACACCCCUCUUCCUGCAGGGCCUUCUGGAGCCCAUCCACACCCCUCUUCCUGCAGGGCCUUCUGGAGCCCAUCCACACCCCUCUUCCUGCAGGGCCUUCUGGAGCCCAUCCACACCCCUCUUCCUGCAGGACCUUCUGGAGCCCAUCCACACCCCUCUUCUUGCAGGGCCUUCUGGAGCCCAUCCACACCCCUCUUCCUGCAGGGCCUUCUGGAGCCCAUCCACACCCCUCUUCCCGCAGGGCCUUCUGGAGCCCAUCCACACCCCUCUUCCCGCAGGGCCUUCUGGAGCCCAUCCACACCCCUCUUCCUGCAGGGCCUUCUGGAGCCCAUCCACACCCCUCUUCCUGCAGGGCCUUCUGGAGCCCAUCCACACCCCUCUUCCUGCAGGGCCUUCUGGAGCCCAUCCACACCCCUCUUCCUGCAGGGCCUUCUGGAGCCCAUCCACCACUGCAAGCUCUCUUUGCAUGCAAAUCCACUCUGCCUCUAAGGCAUUAAGAUUAAUACAUAGCUUUCAUAAACAAUGGACAUCUACUGAAGAUACAUAUGCCUCUCACUACAAUAUUUACCAUAUAGCCUCAUAUCGACUGUUCUACAUACUACAUAGACUCGAUAGUUAUAGUUGUUUAAUGUUCACAUGGUUGCUCAGCAACUUUGUUGUUAACGUCAUGGCCUGAGGCCGCUCUCACUGCAACAAAGAAAGGGAUCGUCAGACUGUCGAGAGCUGUUCUAUACCACGACACCUGAGGGCAAGAAAAGGCAAGGAUGCUCAAGUGGUGAUUUUCUUUUUAAGGGCCCAUGCAAUACAAUUCAUUCACAUUCAAGGGCAUAACCUGAGAUUGCGUUUUAGCACGUUUCAAUGAAAUUAUAUUCCACAUAAAUGUCGGCUGGAGGAUUACACUUUGCGUUUGCUUACGAUUGGACACAUCUUGUUAUUUACCAUUGUCCUUGUGGCUGUUUCGUUAUUUGAAACACCUCUCCAAUGCUUUACUUUCCAUUUGCCUACCAAAUUCAAUUUUGUUUAGCCAAUUAAUCAAAAAGAUGUAUUAAUUGUUUUCACAUCUUUCAUCCUCAUCAUAGAGCACGGUAAGGUAAUACUAGUUUUGUUAGGGUCAUGUAGAAAUGACAGGAGGUCUGGAAACCUGUGAGGGGAGCUGGUGUUCAUGAGAGCGUUUAGGAGUCACUGAGGGGGAGUUAGCCUGUUGCCACACUGCAAAGCUGCCUGAUGGACUCGGGACAGACUAUUAACUCUAGCCAACACCCGUGGCUUCGCUGAUGUCUGCUAAUCAACUUGGGUCCCCUCCAAGCCCCAAACAAAGAGGCAGGGAGGGGACGGUGCUUUGAGAGCUUUUGGCUUUAGGCUUUAGCUAGCUAUGCUUUGUUUUAUGCAUUUGUGGGUGCACCAAAUAUUGUUGAAAGAGGACUUUCCAUUUUUAUUAGAUGUCUUCUAAGACAGCCAAAGCCGAAUAUCCAGUAUUCUGUCUGUGAUAAGCAACUGGGAUGUGAGAAAUUACAAAAAAAAUGGUAGUAUUGUGAAGGAUUGGAAAGGGUUGGAAAGGGUGAGCUACAAUGGUCACGCCUUUGAGUCAGGGGUAGAAAGUAAAGCAUCUACUUACGCUGUAUAAUGGCUGGAUUCAAGUCCUUAGGCGUGGACCGCUCAUGGGACACACAUAUUUUGGAGAGGAGGGCUGAUACUGCAGGCCAAUGGCUACAGGGCUUGAUGGGAAAUCCCUAGCACAUUAAACCACUGGGAAAAAUCGUCCUGUUGUAUUUCUAGUAGCUUGUAGUCAAGUAGGUUUGUCCCAUUGACCAAUAAGCCACACACUGAAGUUCAUCAUAAACCAUACAUAGAUUGAUAGAAGUUAUAUGAUAAAGUAAGCUCAAACAUAAUCGUACAACUCCUCAGGCUGCUCUCUGGGCCCCUAUUGUUCUGAUGGUUUUCAUGCUGUGUUCUAUUGCUUCAAGAUUGAUCAGAUUCCGUGUUCCCAAGGCACAACAUGGGCAGUAUACAGUACAAAAUAAUCUACAGAUUGAAUGUUACAUGUGAAUGUAAAUGUGUAUAGCUACACUGCCUUCCGAAGUUAUCCAUACCCCUUGACUUAUUCUAUAUUUUGUUGUGUUACAGCCUGAACUAAAAAUGGAUUGAAUAUAUUUUUGUUCUCACCCAUCUACACACACUACAUAAUGACAAAGGGAAAACUUGUUUUUAGAAAUUUUAGUAAAUUUAUUGAAAAUGAAAUGUAUAAUAUACAUACAUUUUCAGCCCCCUGAGUCAAUACUUUUUAGAAGCAUCUUUGGCGGAAAUUACAACUUUGAGAUGUCUUGGGUAUGUCUGUAUCAGCUUUGCACAUCUGGAUUUGGGGAUUUUCUCUCAUUCUUCGUUGCAGAUUUUCUCAAGCUCUGUUAGAUAGAUGGGGAGCGGUGGUGAACAACAAUCUUCAAGUUUUUCCACAGAUUUUCAAUAGGGAUUCAAGUCUGGACUUUGGCUGGGCCAUAAAAGGACUUUCACAUUCUUGUUCUGAAGCCAUUCCAGCAUUGCUUUGGCUGGAUGUUUGGGGUCAUUGUUCUGUUUGAAUGUAAAUAUUCGCCCCCAGUCUAAGGUUGUUUGAACUGUGAAGCACGUUCUCAUCAAGGACUUGCCUGUAUUUGGCUCCAUUCAUUGUUCCCUCUAUCCAUACCAGUCUCCCAGUCCCUGCUGCUGAAAAGAAUCCCCAUAGCAUGAUAUUGCCACCACCUUGCUUCACAGUAGGAAUGAUGUUAGAUGGGUGAUGAGCUGUGCCUGGUUUUCUCCAGACAUAGUGCUUUGCAUUCAAGAUAAAGAGUUAAAUAUUUGUCUCAUUAGACCACAUACUAUUUUGCCUUAUGAUCUCAGAGUCUUUCACGUGUAUUUUUGCAAACUCCAGGCGUGCUGUCGUGCCUUUUUCUCAGAAGUUGCUUCCACUCUCCCAUAAAGCCCAGAUUGGUGAAGUGCUGUAGAGACUGUCCUUCUGCCGGGUUCAUCCAUCCCAGCCAAUGAACCCUGUAGUUCUGUCAGAGUGAUCAUUGGGUUCUUGGUCACUUCCCUGACCAAGGUCCUUCUUGCCCGGUUGUUCAGUUUGGUUGGAAGGCCAGCUCCAGGCAGAGUCUGGGUAGUUCCAUAUUAUUUCCAUUUUCCAGUGAUGGAGAUCAAUGUGCUCUUUGAAACUUUCAAAACUCUACAAUUGUUUUAUACCCUUCCCCAGAUACAGUGGGGAGAACAAGUAUUUGAUACACUGCUGAUUUUGCAGGUUUUCCUACCUACAAAGCAUGUAGAGGUCUGUAAUUUUUAUCAUAGGUACACUUCAACUGUGAGAGACGGAAUCUAAAACAAAAAUCCAGAAAAUCACAUUGUAUGAUUUUUAAGUAAUUCAUUUGCAUUUUAUUGCAUGGCAUAAGUAUUUUAUACAUCAGAAAAGCAGAACUUAAUAUUUGGUACAGAAACCUUUGUUUGCAAUUACAGAGAUCAUACAUUUCCUGUAGUUCUUGGCCAGGUUUGUACACACUGCAGCAGGGAUUUUGGCCCACUCCAUACAGACCUUCUCCAGAUCCUUCAGGUUUCGGGGCUGUUGCUGGGCAAUACGCACUUUCAGCUCCCUCCAAAGACUUUCUAUUGCGUUCAGGUCUGGAGACUGGCUAGGCCACUCCAGGACCUUGGGAUGCUUCAUUCGGAGCCACUCCUUAGUUGCCCUGGCUGUGUGUUUCGGGUCGUUGUCAUGCUGGAAGACCCAGCUACGACCCAUCUUCAAUGCUCUUACUGAGGGAAGGAGGUUGUUGGCCAAGAUCUCGCGAUACAUGGCCCCAUCCAUCCUCCCCUCAAUACGUUGCAGUCGUCCUGUCCCCAUGCUUUCUAAGUAGGAAAACCUUCAAAAUCGUCAGUGUAUCAAAUACUUGUUCUCCCCACUGUAUAUGCCUCAUCACAAUUAUAUCUCGGAGAUCUACGGACAGUUCAUUGGACUUCAUGGCAUAGUUUCUGCUCUGAUAUGCACUGUCAACUGCGGAACCUUAUAAAGACGGGUGUGUUUCAUUCUAAAUCAUGUUCAAACAAUUUAAUUGGCCACAGUUGGACUCCAAUCAAGUUGUAGUGACAUUUCAAGGAUGAUCAAAGGAAAUUGGAUGCACCUGAGCUCCUCAUUUUGGAGUGUCAAAUCAAAAGGGUGUGAAUACUUAUGUAAAUGAGAUAUUUCUGUAUUUCAUUUUCAAAACAUUUGCUAAAAUUUCUAAAAACUUGCUUUCACAUUGUCAUUAUGGGGGAUUGUGUAUAGAUGGGUGAAAGAAAACAUAUAUUUAAUCCAUUUUGAAUUAAGGCUGUAACACAACAAAAUGUUGAAUAAGUCAAGGGGUAUGAUUACUUUCUGAAGGCAAAGUAUAUGAAAAUCAUUUAGGCCAACACACUCCACUAGAUCAAACACAAUAAUGGUACCAAACCUCUCCUGUCCUUGGUGGACAAGAGGGACUUGGUAGCACUACUCACUGCAUUCCCCGAAGAGAACAGAAGAUUAUCAGAGAGUAAACAAAAUGCACUGCUGCUUUUUCCCCUCCCCACAUCUUUUUCCUGAUACGCAUUAUUACACUGACACCUGUGUGUAACAUGUGGAAUUUAAUGUAUAUUCAUUUGCCAUUUGUUUCCUCCUAAACAAGGUGCAGGGCCUGGGUUCGUUGUGUGUCUGCUGGGAACGACGUAAGGGAACGCCAGCUGCAGAUUUACAGUCUGCUGUGCAGUCCGAAAAUAUGCUGUAAAGCUCCGGCAGUCAUUGUUAUAAAUAUAAAUCAAUUCAUUUUUCAGUCCUCCCUCACUGCGUUUUCAGUUUAACGUGACACGUUCAUAUGGUGUCAGCGAGAAAAGUUACAUAGAAAAAGGAUAAACAUUUUGCAAGUGUUACCAGACCACAGUGCAAGAUUUCGCUCAUGAUCUAUCUGCAAAAUGUGUAGUUGUUUUAACAUAAUAUAGUUCCAACGAUUCACUAUGUUUUUUUCCUGGCAAUAAAUGGUUUUGUAUUGGUUUGACUUAUUGGUCCUAUUAUUGAAAGUCUUAUACAAUGAGGCCAGAAUUUUAUCACAUACUGAGUACACUGUUUGAAGAUAUGGUGCCUAUA
Molecule: long non-coding RNA, 5406 nt
Organism: Oncorhynchus tshawytscha (Chinook salmon)
Lineage: Eukaryota; Metazoa; Chordata; Actinopteri; Salmoniformes; Salmonidae
Source: Ensembl